RNAcentral lists this long non-coding RNA (1429 nucleotides) under Hordeum vulgare. RNAcentral describes it as "long non-coding RNA (HVUL_LNC002653)". Lineage: Eukaryota; Viridiplantae; Streptophyta; Magnoliopsida; Poales; Poaceae. The record is from RNAcentral.
CCCGGUCGCACACUACUGCUGUGCCGCGUGUCGCACCGCCAAAGUACACGUGCGCCAUUUUUGUUCGUGUGCCACCCAAUGCCAGCGCCAUACUAGCUAGGCCAAUAGGGCAUCGGUCUGCACUAACCACCACGCGCGAUGGGACACUGGCAUUUGUGUUUGAUAGGUUGUGAGAUAAUGGAGGAGGUCACUUUCCCAGCCACUGCAACAGCUCUAUAAAUUACAGUGUGCUAGUAUCUGAAAACAUAGAGCGGGCAGCAUGGUAGUAUUACAUUUCCGGUACAUUUCGAGCGAUGCAUAGUUUCCAGCUAAAUCAACCUUGAUGAGAGAUAUAUAGCUAGAUUAUUUUUGCUAUCCAUGCUGGCAAUAGCAACACGUUAAAUUUUGCCACCACGAAUAUCGACGUCUUAAUUGUUAUCUCCAUCGUAUAUCUUAGCAAGCUAGCUAGGCUUGGGAGACAAUAGGGAACUAAGGCAUACAAUCAUAGGCUGCUUCUGUACUUCUGGGCUUCUAACCAUGCAAGGUCUUUCGACACGAUUGAAUUCGCAACACCACGGUUAAUUGCCACACAAAAUGUCUCAUCUUUAGAAGUAAAAUGUAGACGUCAAGACCUCAAAAGAGCAGCAUGUAGCAAAAUAUACGAUGUGCCGGCGUUGCAAGGACCCCUGCCUUUGACAGUUCAAUGACGGGAAUUCAUGGCGUGUUGACUUAUUUGCUUCUCAGUUGGAGAUUGCAGGGACGAGAAGUUGAACCUCAUGCUCUUCCCCUUGCUCGACGGGGUUGGAACGAACGGAAAAUCUGAUAGCCUGUCACCUGGACGUUGCUGCCCAUCUGUCCUGCUCCCCCAUGUCAUUGUCGUCUGGUCACCAGACGCCCAACUUGAAGUUUAGGGUCCAUGAUUGUAUGUGAUCCAUUCCUUUAGGAUCUGAUCAAGCUUUGCGGGUUUCAAUCUGGAUGGCCCAUUAAUUUUAAGCUUUGGGUUGGAAGGUGCAAAUUUUGAUGCAAGUAAUUGGUUGCUCCUAGUAGACAGUUCGUCUUUAGUUCUUUUUGCAGGAGAUUCUACAUAGCUGUAGUUCUGUCUGAUGCAUGUGCAUAAUCAAUCUUCUUUCCGUGAAAAAAAUCGCACUCCCUGAUGCAAACUUCCAUGUCACCAAUUUUUUAUGUUUUCUCCCUCACAAAAGGUUAAUUUGUGCUUAUAUUUAUGUAACUGUUAUGUCAUCAUAGCUUUAGCGAUCAUGAUUUGUUUUCAAAUAUUUAUUAGGAAUUUUGAAGGAUUGAAUUCUUAUUAACAAAAAUCCGCCAGAUCAUUUGGUACAAAGGAAUGGCUUUCCAAGAUUCCUACGAAAUUCAUAUGGACUGGGCUAUUCCAAAGGAAUUUUGUAGGAAACUAAACACGAGGUCUUACCUAAUGUUUUCGCAAUUUGUGUCU